Molecule: ribosomal RNA, 252 nt
Filed under: uncultured bacterium
Lineage: Bacteria
Description: partial 16S ribosomal RNA
Rfam family: Bacterial small subunit ribosomal RNA
Source: RNAcentral
UACGUAGGGGGCGAGCGUUGUCCGGAAUUAUUGGGCGUAAAGCGCGCGCGGGUGGUAACUUAAGUCUGGUGUAUAAGCUCAGGGCUUAACCCUGGGAGGCACUGGAAACUGGGAUACUGGAGUGCAGGAGAGGAAAGCGGAAUUCCAUGUGUAGCGGUGAAAUGCGUAGAGAUAUGGAGGAACACCAGUGGCGAAGGCGGCUUUCUGGCCUGUAGCUGACGCUGAGGCGCGAAAGCGUGGGGAGCAAACAGG